RNAcentral lists this ribosomal RNA (429 nucleotides) under uncultured Orbus sp. Its description in RNAcentral is "bacterial SSU rRNA". It matches the Rfam family "Bacterial small subunit ribosomal RNA", at positions 355 to 774 of the family's 1533-position model. Lineage: Bacteria; Pseudomonadati; Pseudomonadota; Gammaproteobacteria; Orbales; Orbaceae. The record is from RNAcentral.
UGGGGAAUAUUGCACAAUGGGGGAAACCCUGAUGCAGCCAUGCCGCGUGUAUGAAGAAGGCCUUAGGGUUGAAAGUACUUUCGGUGAUGAGGAAGGUACUUGGUCUAAUAGGCCAGGUUAAUUGACGUUAAUUACAGAAGAAGCACCGGCUAACUCCGUGCCAGCAGCCGCGGUAAUACGGAGGGUGCGAGCGUUAAUCGGAAUGACUGGGCGUAAAGGGCAUGUAGGCGGAUGAUUAAGUUAGGUGUGAAAUCCCCGGGCUCAACUUGGGAAUUGCAUUUAAAACUGGUCGUCUAGAGUAUUGUAGAGGAAGGUAGAAUUCCACGUGUAGCGGUGAAAUGCGUUAGAGAUGUGGAGGAAUACCGGUGGCGAAGGCGGCCUUCUGGACAGAUACUGACGCUGAGAUGCGAAAAGCGUGGGGAGCAAACA